AGUCUGGUGCCAGCAGCCGCGGUAAUUCCAGCUCUAAUAGCGUAUAUUAAAGUUGUUGCAGUUAAAAAGCUCGUAGUUGGAUUUCGGCGUGCGCUCAGGCUGGUCGGCCGUCAAGGUCUGUACCGUUUGGGUCACGCCCCACUGUAGGAUACUCACCGCUGUCCUUAACUGGGUGGCGGUCAAAGGGGGUGUGCAUGGGGGCAACUCUGUGCAUAUCUCUGGGGUUCCUACUCUUUUACUUUGAGCAAAUUAGAGUGUUCAAAGCAGGCAAUCGAGCCUUGAAUACUUCAGCAUGGGAUAAUGGAACAGGACUGGGGUCCUGAUUUCGUUGGUUUCUGGGAUCUCAGUAAUGAUUAAUAGGGAUAGUUGGGGGCAUUAGUAUUUAAUUGUCAGAGGUGAAAUUCUUGGAUUUAUGAAAGACUAACUUCUGCGAAAGCAUUUGCCAAGGAUGUUUUCAUUAAUCAAGAACGAAAGUUAGGGGAUCGAAGACGAUCAGAUACCGUCGUAGUCUUAACCAUAAACGAUGCCGACCAGCGAUUGGGAGACGUUACAUGGAUGACUCCCCCAGCAGCUUGCGAGAAAUCACAAGUCUUUGGGUUCCGGGGGGAGUAUGGUCGCAAGGCUGAAACUUAAAGGAAUUGACGGAAGGGCACCACCAGGAGUGGAGCCUGCGGCUUAAUUUGACUCAACACGGGGAAACUUACCAGGUCCAGACAUAGUAAGGAUUGACAGAUUUGAGAGCUCUUUCUUGAUUCUAUGGGUGGUGGUGCAUGGCCGUUCUUAGUUGGUGGAGUGACUUGUCUGGUUAAUUCCGUUAACGAACGAGACCUUAACCUGCUAAAUAUGUCACUGGUAGACUUCUGCCAAAACAGGUGGGUGUCUAGGGGAAAGUUUCGAUGGACUCCGACGCAUUCAUCUGUGGAUGACUACCAGGAUGUACUUCUUUGAGGGACUAUCUGUAUCAAAGCAGAUGGAAGUUUGAGGCAAUAACAGGUCUGUGAUGCCCUUAGAUGUUCUGGGCCGCACGCGCGCUACACUGACAAGUUCAACGAGUUUAACACCUUGCUCGAUAGGGCUGGGUAAUCUUUGAAAAACUUGUCGUGAUGGGGAUAGAUCAUUGUAAUUAUUGGUCUUCAACGAGGAAUUCCUAGUAAGCGUGAGUCAUCAGCUCGCGUUGAUUACGUCCCUGCCCUUUGUACACACCGCCCGUCGCUCCUACCGAUUGAAUGAUCCGGUGAAAUGUUGGGAGCUGGGGUCUUUUGGCGGCGGGGCAACUCGUCGUCAGGGAUUCUGCAAACUUCAUUAAACCUUAUCAUUUAGA
This 1321-nucleotide ribosomal RNA is filed under the name metagenome. Its description in RNAcentral is "SSU rRNA". It matches the Rfam family "Eukaryotic small subunit ribosomal RNA", at positions 558 to 1777 of the family's 1831-position model. The record is from RNAcentral.